UGGGGAAUAUUGCACAAUGGGCGCAAGCCUGAUGCAGCAACGCCGCGUGAACGAUGAAGGUCUUCGGAUCGUAAAGUUCUGUUGCAGGGGAAGAUAAUGACGGUACCCUGUGAGGAAGCACCGGCUAACUACGUGCCAGCAGCCGCGGUAAUACGUAGGGGGCUAGCGUUAUUCGGAUCUACUGGGCGUAAAGGGUGCGUAGGUGGUCUUUCAAGUCGGUGGUUAAAGGCUACGGCUCAACCGUAGUUAGCCUCCGAAACUGGAAGACUUGAGUGCAGGAGAGGAAAGUGGAAUUCCCAGUGUAGCGGUGAAAUGCGUGGAUAUUGGGAGGAACACCAGUAGCGAAGGCGGCUUUCUGGACUACAACUGACACUGAGGCACGAAAGCGUGAGUAGCAAACAGG
RNAcentral lists this ribosomal RNA (403 nucleotides) under Verrucomicrobiota bacterium. RNAcentral's name for it is "Verrucomicrobia bacterium partial 16S ribosomal RNA". It matches the Rfam family "Bacterial small subunit ribosomal RNA", at positions 355 to 776 of the family's 1533-position model. The record is from RNAcentral. Lineage: Bacteria; Pseudomonadati; Verrucomicrobiota.